Molecule: non-coding RNA, 80 nt
Organism: Periconia digitata
Lineage: Eukaryota; Fungi; Ascomycota; Dothideomycetes; Pleosporales; Periconiaceae
Source: the annotation of a GenBank genome assembly
CGCCCUCUUGGCUAAGUGGUAUAGCGUCUCACUAGUAAAAGCUAUGAGAAGAUCAUCAGUUCGAUUCUGAUAGAGGGCAA